UUCUCAUACUGCUCCUGGAGGACCUCAUUGUUCAUUGCUAUCUUGUUGUUUUGAGCUUCUAGCUCAUCGACUUUAGCUUGAAGAGCAACCUUCUUUCCUUCCUUCUUUCGUUGCUUCGCACUAGGUGCAAGAGGGGUGUCAUUCUGUGUUCUGUGGCUUCCUUCGCUCCCCAUGUUGGAGAGGGAUGCCUGGUAAAAAAAGAGUG
This 205-nucleotide long non-coding RNA is filed under the name Malus domestica (apple). Its description in RNAcentral is "long non-coding RNA (MDOM_LNC015454)". Lineage: Eukaryota; Viridiplantae; Streptophyta; Magnoliopsida; Rosales; Rosaceae. The record is from RNAcentral.